UAAAAUAGCUUAUAAUUUGGAAGGAAGUGAUAUUUCACUUAUUAAACAAGGUCUAUAGUUGGUCCAACCCCUAGAAAUGACGAAGAGGUCCUUGAGGUGAACUUGAACUGGGAUGGAGACAAUAGGGUCGGUUUUGAUUGGUGUGGAGAAAACAGGGUAUGUUUUGGAUCACAUACAGAUCAUAAGAAUCUAGAUAUAGGGCUUUUGUUGUUCUACCUGGGCUUCAAUUUCAACAGAAUGGCCCACAUAUAUUGUCCUCCUUGGAAGAAACUACUGCAAACAGGGCGUGUUACAAUUUGGGCUGUUGUCGAAAUAUAUGGCCCAAUGUGGAAGGCUAGUCGCCGCCGGGCGGGGUUUUCAUUCAGUUAAAAAAAACGUCGUACGCAGAUCCGUCACGGAGGGCCCAAGAACGGGCUAGCCAUAAUCCCCUCUCCCACCUCGCAUCGCCGCUCGCCACUCCGGCGCCG
RNAcentral lists this long non-coding RNA (467 nucleotides) under Setaria viridis. RNAcentral describes it as "long non-coding RNA (SVIR_LNC002701)". Lineage: Eukaryota; Viridiplantae; Streptophyta; Magnoliopsida; Poales; Poaceae. The record is from RNAcentral.